Anopheles gambiae (African malaria mosquito) is the source of this 5248-nucleotide long non-coding RNA. RefSeq lists it as uncharacterized. The transcript is spliced from 3 exons. Lineage: Eukaryota; Metazoa; Arthropoda; Insecta; Diptera; Culicidae. The record is from RefSeq and is a predicted model, not a curated record.
UAUUACACCGCAGCCGCUUCCUUUCGAUCAAACACAAUCCGUCCCGCGCGCUCGCUCUUUUUCAUCCUCUCUCUCACUUCUUUUUUGUUCUCUCUCUCUCUCUAGAUUAGUUAUGCUCUCUUUUUCCCUCGACCAAGUUCUCCGUAGCGCUUACUGCCCCGUUGAUCCGCACGCUGGGUCACACCGCUUGGUAACGUCCGUGUCCCGCCCGUUCGUCGGGACUCUGUAGCGCGCUCACAGCAAAACGUCUGCUUCUUUGUGUGAUUGCUGCCCGGUGUGUCACCGCUGAGGAUGGUGGUUUGUACCUCACCCACCUCAAAUCUCUCGCCCCCUUUCUUCCAUCGCUCGCGGUGUGCGGCGGUAGAUUUCGGUCGGUAGUUUUAUUUCCCUGUCGCCGGGCUGACUUUUGUGUGCAUGUGUAUCGGCAAGGUGUUUGCCACUUUCUGCACCCAUCCGGCCACCAGCAGGGGCGCACGACAAUGUGUGUCGCCAGGACUUCCUGUUUCAAGGGCUCGGAAGGUCAGUCGUAUAUCGGCAGCGAAAAACCUACGCUGCCCUAUCCGUUUGGGUUACUUCUCAAUUUACUUUGCGGCGCGAGAACCACCCCUUCAAUCGGAAAACAAUCAGACCCUGGUCAGGUGUCAAAUUUUGAGUGCGCCUGCUAUAGAUUUCCUAAGAACGAUUGUCACAUCCAACAGGCAUGCAUGCGACCACUGGGCACUCGGUGCAUAAUCCGAACGUUUUAUGUGGGCCUCUCCCGUACACAGUCGUCGCUCGUCAUCUCGCUUUCGUGAUCGUUUUCACCCACUUGCAGUGCACCGGGCUGCUGGUGUCAAUGGUUUGGAAAAGCGUAGCUAUAACGCCGUUACGCCGGGAAAGUCCCAUGAUGCUGCUGCUGUCGGCUGUUGACGCGAGCGCAUAUUGUGCUUUGAUAUUUUAUUUUUAGGCAAAACGCUGUGGCAGCACGCCGUACAAUUGGUAAAUUGAUUGGCGGGCAGAAACAAAAUAACUAGCCGGCACUAUUUUUCUAACGUUGGAAUCAUUUCGUGCUUGCGUUGUUGAACCGAUUGUGAUUGUUGUUAAACCGAUCAAGUGCUGUGGCGUGAUUGACAGGGAUUUUCAUUCGGUCGAUUCUGCCUUCGCAGCCGCUACCGUCUCCGCUGCUGCUUCUGAGGUAUAAAAUUAAAAUAAAAUAAUGGCCCUUCGAGCUGGAUCCACCGAGUACACACAUGCGAUAUCUUGCACCAUCAUAUCUCCCACGUGCUGUUGCGUGUAGAGAAAGGCAACAGAAGCGAAGGAGCGGCAAACGGAUGAGCGAUGAGAAUAGGUGCUGCUGUUGUCGCGUUUUAUGUUCGUCACUUACCGUCCUACCAUUCCUGCGCAAGGCCUUUAUUUGUUGCUGUGGGUUUGAUAAUGUUUAUUUUUUUCUUUCUAAUUUCGCUCUCGUCCGUGAUUGCUACUGUGUUGCGCUCGGACGCAUGGGGAACAUCGCCCUGCACUGCGAUUAUGGAAAGGUGACUUAAUUCUCGUCUUGGCUAUCUCUUUUUCUUACCUUGCUUGCCCGAAAACCAGGCAGCGUCUUCCCUGCCUCCCAUGGGAAGUUUCGGAAAUUGAGCCCAAAUGUACGAGGAGAAACUAUCCUCUGCUGUGUUCUCUUUUAUUUUGUUUCUGUUGUUGUUUUUUUUACGGCAUGCUUCUUCGUCGUUCUACAUCAAACUGUCCCUUUUCCCACCACCAUCCACUAAACCCUCCACGUCGCUGUUCAUUUGUAAUUAUUUGUAUAUCUCCUUUCUAUCGCUCUUUGCUUCGCAUGCUUUCCUGCCCUUCGGGGCCUUUCCUUGACCGUUUCAUUCGUGUUCUCCGCUUUAUAACGCUUGCCGUGCGUUUCCCGGUUGCGGAUGUGUUUCACUUUUCAACCUGCGUUCUCUGCUCCCGGCCCGCACCGUUUACGAAGAGGAUGAGUUUUUCCCCCCCCCCAAACGGUCUUUUUCUGUUUAAGUUGUGUGCUGUUGUGAUACACCGAACACAUGAGGUAAUGCAACAAUACACACACACAUGUACACUGGACAUUUGGGGCUUUUAGGUUGUGUUUUUUUCAACUUCGAUUCGGUUUUGUCCAACGAAAGGGAAGAAAUCAAUUGGAUGACUAAUUAAAUCAGAGACGCGAUACAAAAGCAAUGAAAAUAAGUUGGAAAAGUUGUGGAUGCUACGGAAAAGGGUGUUCCCCUAGCUGGGGUGACACAAGCGUGGGAAUUUAUCGUGUAAGCGAAAAAAAAGCGAGUUAUUAUAAACUCGUAUGCGAGCUGUAGCGGUUUAUUUUAAAUGUUUGCCAUAAAACAAUCAACUGGAGGAGGCUUCGAACUUCAAAUUACGCUUGACAGCUUGUUGGGAGCGGACAGCAAGAAUAAGACAGAACGCGCAGAAACGCGCAGUUGCUAGCGAUCCGACAAUCCCUUGACGCACACGUUCCUGCGCGAAGGAGAAGGCAUAAGAUAAUGGAAAGAUCAGCGUGAUAUACAUACACAUAAAAUCGCUGGCUACUGGUUUUCGUUUUUACAAUGUACACACGGUGGAGCUCACGGUAGCGGUAGCGGUACAUCAGAAGAGCAAUGUGAGGGGGAUUAAAAUUGGGUUACGGAAGGUGCCGGUCACCUGAGCGAAGAUUGAACCAGAAACAGAACAAGAAAGAAAUUGAGAGUGAGAGAGAGAAAGAAAGAGAAAGAGAAAGAGCGAGAGAGAGAAAGAAAGAGAGAGAUACAGAGAGAGAGAGAGGGAGAGAGACAGAGAGACAGAGAGAGACAGAUAGAGAGAGAGAGAGAGAAAGAGAGAGAGAGAUUGAAAUUAAGAUAAAAAUGCAGCAAAUGGUACCAAACGGAGACAAUCUAUCGAGCUCCCAACCAGCGUCCUUGCUGUGUCCGAAGGAACGUACAUAGCUUGUGAAACCGGUUUACCCUCAGCGAUACCAAGUGAUAAGGCUCGUCAUAUGUCCGACUAUCCUUAUGCAGAUGCGCAUGAAAUUUACAUUACCCGGUUCAUCUCCUGUUACGAGUCUUCCCGGUUUUUGGGGGCUACAAGAUCCCUGUAAUGGCCCCAACGUUCAAGUAAAAGCAAAGUAACAACAAUGGAUUGAAACACCGACGCAGUCCCUUAAGCCUCCCUUUCAACGGAAGGAGUUGCGUAGCUUCCUCAGGUGAAUGGAUCAGUAAAUGGCUGUUAAAUUGAGUUAACCAUUUUAACCUUCCCCAGAUCUCCAGGGGCCAGACCUCUCGACCUCGAUCGGCCACCGGUCUAGAACACGAUCGAACAUGUUCGAACAGGAAUAAAUGAUAGUUUGAUGAAUAAAGCCUACGUCGUUCAGGCGGAAGACGCGUGUAGGAAGCUGAAACAGAAGGAAGACCCAGGUCUGGCGAGUACCAGUUGAAUGUUUCGCUUCUUCUAUCCUGUAUGCCGUAUGCAGUAUGUUCGGCGUGUUGCAAAUUUAAACUUGUGAUGUGCGUUUCGGAGCGUAUUAACGGCUCCUUUGCCUGGAGUUAGCUCCGCACUCACGGCUCCGGACUAAUGGUGCAAUGGAGACGAUAUUGUACGAUAGCGUAAAAAACGAAUCUAGAUUUUAGCGAGAGUAGUAACUACCACCCGAUGUAAUCGCAGUAUUGACAGUACGUGCAUGCAUUGUGUGGUAUUCGUUGGUCCCUACUCACGUAUAACAUUUCGUUCUCGGAUCAUCCGUUCUCAAGAUAUGUAACUGUAUGGUUUGUUAAAGAUGUUCAAAACAUAACUUUGAAGAAAUGUAUCAAAAUGUUGUUGAUAUACUAUUUGGAGCUUUAGCUAUUUACCGGUUGAUUUGUACGUCCAAAUCCUCAAAUGAAAGGCUGUGAAGCUGCUGUCAGUAUAUUUUAUUGCGUGAACGGACACUAUCGGCCGAAAUAUUAGACCGAGUUUAAUUAUUGGCUUUGAUUAGUUUAUGACUAAAAAUUAUGUAAGUUCUGCAUUUUUCAAUUGAUAUUCCUGUUUGAAAUUCAUUUGGAAAGGAAAUAUUUUGGUGCACUGUUUUAUAACCGACUCCAAAAUCCGUUGAUGCGGAACCGUCUCGGGAGCCGUUGGUUGGAGCUGGAUAUUUGGAGCCGUCCCGUCCAUUACUAAUUUAAACCUCGCCCAAGCUCGUGCGAGGGCCGGAGCUACACAUUUAGCAGGAAAAAACCCAAAACAACCUGGAGAAACUGAAAAAGAGUGAAACAUCGGUUUUCUAUCCUAUCGAAGUCAUCGAUCACUAGGGUGACCAGAUUGUUUUGUCCGUUGUGGCCAUGUUACUUGGGGUAGAUGGAAUCAAUUUGUUUUCGUUGCCUGCGCGUUAUUUUACAUUUAGCUCUUAAGUUUAUUUGCAUUUAAAUUAGAGAAGCGAAAAGGAGUGUUUUAAUAUUAUUAUUCUGUUCGUUUGCCUUAAAAUAAUAUCUAUUUUUGGUAUACAUGUUGUAUUCAAACGAAAAAUGGCUUUAUGUGAAAUUCCUAUCGGUAUAGAUACAAUUAUGUGUAUGCACAAUUUAUAUUUUCCUGCUUUGGUAAAAGCUGCCAACUCCAUUACAUCUACCCAAUAUGACUUGCCAUAUCUACCCAAAUGCUCGUAGGAACACAAAAAGAAAUGUCGGUAGUUGCGAGGCAAUAUAAGUUGUCGAGAUAACCUUCUAUUGGGAUUUUCGUUCAAGACAAUGGUUAUAAAUGCGUAGUGCAUUUUUACUUUCUUGAUAAAAAAGCGAGAAAUCUGUUUUGUUGUUAUGAAAAACAAGAUAAAAAUUACUUCGGAAAUUCCGAAAAUAAAAUGGCAGAAAUGGAACAAAUCUUUCAUACGUUAAAACGGAGCCGUAAUUACACAAUUUUUAAACGUAUCAAAACUUUAUACCAGUGUAUUUAAUUUACAGAAUCACACUUUUAUUUUACACGAAAUUUGAUCUGAAAAAGUUAUCCAUAUUCUAGAUGAUCGCAACGAAACAACGACUGCAAAAAGUAUUUGCAUCUACACUGAAUGGUACUGCAAAUUGUGUAAGUAGUUGUCCAAUGGGUUUGAACUUUUUUUUUAUUGAAAUGUUUUCAGACAUAAUCAAACAUAACAACAAUCGUAGCAUUACAUGGUUAUAAAAAUGAGAGAAUUAUGGUUAUGUGCGCCAUUCUGAAUUGCCAUGGUAGUGAAUGGUUUGUAAACAUUUGUUUCUAUAACAAACAUAUUGAGCCUUUUAAAAUUAGCUGCGGUGCGGUG